UACGUAGGUGGCGAGCGUUGUCCGGAUUUACUGGGCGUAAAGAGCGCGCAGGCGGUCGAUCAAGUCGGAUGUGAAAGCCCCCGGCUCAACUGGGGAGGGUCAUUCGAUACUGUCCGACUCGAAGGCAGGAGAGGGAAGCGGAAUUCCCGGUGUAGUGGUGAAAUGCGUAGAUAUCGGGAGGAACACCAGUGGCGAAGGCGGCUUUCUGGCCUGUUCUUGACGCUGAGGCGCGAAAGCUAGGGGAGCGAACGGG
This 253-nucleotide ribosomal RNA is filed under the name uncultured bacterium. RNAcentral's name for it is "partial 16S ribosomal RNA". It matches the Rfam family "Bacterial small subunit ribosomal RNA", at positions 524 to 776 of the family's 1533-position model. The record is from RNAcentral.